Molecule: long non-coding RNA, 1011 nt
Organism: Leucoraja erinaceus (little skate)
Lineage: Eukaryota; Metazoa; Chordata; Chondrichthyes; Rajiformes; Rajidae
Exons: 2
Source: RefSeq, a predicted model, not a curated record
AUUGUCCUUAGAGUGUGUGUAGGGUAGUGUCAGUGUGCGGGGAUCGCUGGUCGGCGCGGACACGGUGGGCCGAAGGGCCUGUUUCCGCGCUGUAUCUCUAAACUAAACUAAAGUGCAUUUCCACCAGUACUUGGUACCCGAGUGGUCCUGAAAUCCAUUGACGUCAAAGACCAAUGAAGAACUGUCUCCAGACCCCAUAGCACAGGCACCUAAUGUACUUAGCACCUACGCAGGUGUGGGAGGAAGCCGGAGCACCUGGGGGAAACCCACACGGUCAAAGGAGAACGUGCAAACUCCACACAGACAGACAGCGCCCGAGAUCACAAUCACAAUAAUACUUUAUUAGCCAAGUAUGUUUUUGCAACAUACGAGGAAUUUCAUUUGCCAAGUCAGUCAGACAAAUAAAAAGCAACAGAACACACAAAACACAUUUUAAUAUAAACAUCCACCACAGUGACCCCUCCACAUUCCUCACUGUGGUGGAAGGGGGAAAAAAGUUCAAUGUCUUCCCUUCUUUGUUCUCCCGCGGUCAUGGGCCUCGAGCCCUCUGUUGACGGGACGGUCUUGACUCCCGUGGCUCUCAGUGUAAUGUUCGCAGGCUGCAGGUUUGAGCGUCGAUCCCAGGCAAGGGAUCAACUCCGAUGUUAAGUCCAAGCUCCCCAGAGGGGCUCAAGGUCAGUCUGAGGAGGUUAGGAACUGAGAGAAAAGUUUACCCCGACCCCCUCACCUCACAUAAAACAAACCGGAGAACAUUUACACAGAUUUUUAACACACACUAAAAAACUUAAAAAAGACGAAAAAAGACAUUGUUGGCGGGGCUGCCUGUGGUAUUAUGCAAUAAUAGUGUAAGGCUGAGCAGAGGGGCACUAGGACCCUGUGUGCCAGAAGCCAGGCUCCAGUAACCGGAUGUGACUGGAACCCAGGGUGUGGGCAGUUAGGGAGUUGCCUGGGCUUACACACGAGGCUGUUGCUGUUGCUGCUGUUGUACAGAUUAAAGAUAUACUCUGUUUA